RNAcentral lists this ribosomal RNA (305 nucleotides) under uncultured bacterium. RNAcentral describes it as "bacterial SSU rRNA". It matches the Rfam family "Bacterial small subunit ribosomal RNA", at positions 337 to 634 of the family's 1533-position model. The record is from RNAcentral.
GCCUACGGGGGGCAGCAGUAGGGAAUCUUCCACAAUGGGCGAAAGCCUGAUGGAGCAACGCCGCGUGGGUGGAGAAGGUCUUCGGAUCGUAAAACCCUGUUGUUAGAGAAGAAAGUGCGUGGGAGUAACUGUUCACAUUUCGACGGUAUCUAACCAGAAAGCCACGGCUAACUACGUGCCAGCAGCCGCGGUAAUACGUAGGUGGCAAGCGUUAUCCGGAUUUAUUGGGCGUAAAGGGAACGCAGGCGGUCUUUUAAGUCUGAUGUGAAAGCCUUCGGCUUAACCGGAGUAGUGCAUUGGAAACU